RNAcentral lists this long non-coding RNA (834 nucleotides) under Mus pahari (shrew mouse). Its description in RNAcentral is "lncRNA (MGP_PahariEiJ_G0003540.1)". The record is from RNAcentral. Lineage: Eukaryota; Metazoa; Chordata; Mammalia; Rodentia; Muridae.
AUUCCAAAAUAAUGACAUAUACCUUGGCAUGAGACUGGUGGCAGACAUCACAUGGAUACUUACUGAAUUAAGAUGAAAGGACAGUUGAGAGAAGAUCAGUGUGCAUCUCUCAUCUACUUCUCCUGCACUCUGCUUGCCACAUCUGCCUCCAGGCUCCCUGUCACCAUGACAAUGGACUACUCCUCUGAAACUGUUAAUACUAACUAUAUUCUUCUGAAACUGUUAUGUACAUGAUACAACAUGAAACAAGAUAGUAACUCAAAUGUAACCUGGGAUAUCAUGGGUUUUCAAGAACAAGGACCACAGUUAAAGAAGACAAAAAUAUGGCUAAAAAUGUGUAAGCAAAGAACUCUGAACGCUUAUGUUGAAUUGGAAGGGAUGAUAUACACUCAAAAGCUAACUACCUUUAAAAAGACAAGAUACUAGCUAGGUACAGCAGUACACAUCUUUAAUCUUAGCACUUACUAGACAGGCAGGCAGAUCCCUGGAGUUCCAGGCCAGCCAGCCUCAAAAACAAAAACAAAAACAAACAAAAAACAAAACCAAACAAACAAAACAGAGACAUGCACACACACAUACACACCCACAACGCACUAUGCAUUUCCCAACACUAUGCUUUGAAUAGAACCCCAACCAGGAACAACCUAGGUUGCAGUGUUCCUCGUACCUGUACUGUGAUGCUGAAACACCAUUUUUUCCCUAAAAAGAAACCAAGAUUAUAAGACAUAGGGUUGAUUCCAGAUCUAGCACAGGGAAAUAUACAAAGGAAGCUGAAACACUGUUAUACCAAAGAGUUGCAUAACUAAAGAGAGCUAAAAAGACAUAUAUAAGAAU